RNAcentral lists this ribosomal RNA (849 nucleotides) under uncultured archaeon. RNAcentral's name for it is "bacterial SSU rRNA". It matches the Rfam family "Archaeal small subunit ribosomal RNA", at positions 70 to 922 of the family's 1478-position model. The record is from RNAcentral.
AGCAAUAUGUGGCAUACGGCUCAGUAACACGUAGUCAACAUGCCCAGGGGACGUGGAUAACCUCGGGAAACUGAGGAUAAACCGCGAUAAGUCACUACUUCUGGAAUGGGUAAUGACUUAAAUCUAUAUGGCCCCUGGAUUGGACUGCGGCCGAUCAGGCUGUUGGUGAGGUAAUGGCCCACCAAACCUGUAACCGGUACGGGCUCUGAGAGGAGGAGCCCGGAGAUGGGCACUGAGACAAGGGCCCAGGCCCUAUGGGGCGCAGCAGGCGCGAAACCUCUGCAAUAGGCGAAAGCCUGACAGGGUUACUCUGAGUGAUUUCCGUUAAGGAGAUCUUUUGGCACCUCUAAAAAUGGUGCAGAAUAAGGGGUGGGCAAGUCUGGUGUCAGCCGCCGCGGUAAUACCAGCACCCCGAGUGGUCGGGACGUUUAUUGGGCCUAAAGCAUCCGUAGCCGGUUCUGCAAGUCUUCCGUUAAAUCCACCUGCUUAACAGAUGGGCUGCGGAAGAUACUAUAGAGCUAGGAGGCGGGAGAGGCAAGCGGUACUCGAUGGGUAGGGGUAAAAUCCGUUGAUCCAUUGAAGACCACCAGUGGCGAAGGCGGCUUGCCAGAACGCGCUCGACGGUGAGGGAUGAAAGCUGGGGGAGCAAACCGGAUUAGAUACCCGGGUAGUCCCAGCUGUAAACGAUGCAGACUCGGUGAUGAAUUGGCUUCAUGCCAAUUCAGUGCCGCAGGGAAGCCGUUAAGUUUGCCGCCUGGGGAGUACGGUCGCAAGACUGAAACUUAAAGGAAUUGGCGGGGGAGCACCACAAGGGGUGAAGCCUGCGGUUCAAUUGGAUUCAACGCCGGA